CCUACGGGCGGCAGCAGUGAGGAAUAUUGGUCAAUGGGCGCGAGCCUGAACCAGCCACGUAGCGUGAAGGAUGACUGCCCUACGGGUUGUAAACUUCUUUUAUAGAGAAGUAAAGUGAGGCACGUGGGCCUUUUUGUAUGUACUUUAUGAAUAAGGAUCGGCUAACUCCGUGCCAGCAGCCGCGGUAAUACGGAGGAUCCGAGCGUUAUCCGGAUUUACUGGGUUUAAAGGGAGCGUAGAUGGGUUGUUAAGUCAGUUGUGAAAGUUUGCGGCUCAACCGUAAAAUUGCAAUUGAUACUGGCAGCCUUGAGUACAGGUGAGGUAGGCGGAAUUCGUGGUGUAGCGGUGAAAUGCUUAGAUAUCACGAAGAACUCCGAUUGCGAAGGCAGCCUACUAGACUGCAACUGACAUUGAUGCUCGAAAGUGUGGGUAUCAAACAGGAUUAGAUACCCGAGUAGUC
Molecule: ribosomal RNA, 460 nt
Filed under: uncultured bacterium
Lineage: Bacteria
Description: partial 16S ribosomal RNA
Rfam family: Bacterial small subunit ribosomal RNA
Source: RNAcentral